GCGUCCGGUAACCAAGCUGGCAGUACUUCAGAUUGAAGGAGAUAGUAACGAAGAAUCGGUAGUAGGACCGGAGGUUCGUUACGGGGCGGGGGAUGUUACGGCCACUGGCAGCACUGGUGAAGUUGUGAGUGACAACCCCUCAGCUGUCCGACCCUGUCAAUGAACGUCAAGCCCAUGACGUUAUCGUCGUUCGUAAACAUCAAAACAUCGUGACUCCGAGAAUUAUUACAUCCAACCAAAACGUGCAAUUUUCUUAUAAUUAAUUCCAAGUCAGAUUAACUGCUACGAUCGAUUGUGAUAGGAUUUAGUGGGCAACAAACCUUUGUUUAAGGCACAGCGUAGAUCCAGUAGGGUAUCAGUACGGGAACAAUUUAGAAAUCAGAACAGAACUUAAAGAAACAACGUGGAAAAACCCUAUAGCCCGACUCUGUGAAUUUGUUUUGGAUGACUAAGGGUGAAACUAAAUGUAGGUAACCUUAUAAAAACAUGCGAUUGAAAACACUAAUAAAUGGUAUCUUUUCUAGCUUUGAGCUACAUACGCCAAAAGGGUGGUUGCUACACAGAA
Armigeres subalbatus is the source of this 565-nucleotide long non-coding RNA. RefSeq lists it as uncharacterized. NCBI's taxonomy places the organism in Eukaryota, Metazoa, Arthropoda, Insecta, Diptera, Culicidae. The transcript is spliced from 3 exons. The record is from RefSeq and is a predicted model, not a curated record.